This 472-nucleotide ribosomal RNA is filed under the name uncultured bacterium. Its description in RNAcentral is "bacterial SSU rRNA". It matches the Rfam family "Bacterial small subunit ribosomal RNA", at positions 28 to 479 of the family's 1533-position model. The record is from RNAcentral.
AACGAACGCUGGCGGCGGGGUUUAGGCAUGCAAGUCGCGCGAGAAAGGGGCAACCCGAGUACAGCGGCGCAAGGGUGAGUAAGAGUUCGUCAACGUACCUUCUUGACGCGGAUAAUUCCUCGAAAGGGGUUGUAAUACGCGAUGAGACCACGCGCCUUCCGGGGCGAGAGGUCAAAGGUCGGGGAUCCUUCGGGACCUGGCGCAGGGAGAGCGGACGAACGCCGAUUAGCUUGAUGGCGGGGUAACGGCCCACCAUGGCGAUGAUCGGUAGCCGGCCUGAGAGGGUGUCCGGCCACACUGGGACUGAGACACUGCCCAGACUCCUACGGGAGGCUGCAGUCGCGAAUCAUUCACAAUGGGCGCAAGCCUGAUGAUGCCACGCCGCGUGCGGGAUGAAGGCCCUCUGGGUUGUAAACCGCUGUCAAGGGGAGGGGAACCGCGCCGCAUGAACAGUGCGGCGUCUGACUGCUCU